CGUGUCAAGCCUCCCGCUGGUCCAAACCACGCGUGUAUGGUGUGUGUGGGUUUGCCUGUGCGCGUGUCCUCCCACCGGUUAGCCACUCGGUGCAGCUCUGGACAGAGGAGAUUGGUGAUUUGGGUGGUGCUGGGUACGCCUCGGCUCCUUGCAGUACGUCGUGAUGUUCCGGCUGUCGGUGCUGCUUCCCGCGAUUGCUGCUUGGGGCGCUCUGCGCCACUGCUGUUCAGGUCAUCCGUCUCUCCCUUCCGUCUGCUCGAUCUACUGCUCUGCCCUGAUCUGGUUUGUAUUGUUUCAUCUGGUAUUGGAUUUGUUGUUUGCUGUCUUGGGCUGGGUUCAGUAUGGUGUUUCUCGAGCAACGAAGUCAUUGGAUUGGGCUCUGGUUUUUGUGAGAUGCCGCUUUCGUGCUUCAAUUGUUGUGGAGGGCGCCGUGCACUGCAGAGGAUGAGAUUGGCUGAUUGUUGUGGACUGAUGCUUCCCUUCAAGUUUAACUUGCUGCUUCAAUUGCCAACUUUGACAGGAGGAGAUUGAUCGGUGCACCCACCGCAUAGAGCCGAAGGAAGUGUGUCAAUCCAGCGAUACAUGGAGCCGGCCAGCAACCAGCGACGCAGCCACCAUUGUCUUACCUGCUCUAAGCACACACUCAAUUUUGUUUCAGAUGGAAUGCAUUCAGCAUACAUGGUGGAAGAGAGCUGCCCCCAGGCCCUCACUACUGAACAACCACGCCCACAACAAGGACAUGGAGAUCUUCGUCACAGGGCAAGUGAAGGCAAGAAAUAAGGUGCCAAAGGAUUUAAUUAGGCGAAGAUGAUUAGGCUCUAGUACACACCGAGUGCAUCCAUAAGAGUCUACAUUAAAAUACUACAGAAGGGUUGAUGAUGUAUCUAUGGAUAUUAUACUGACUGAUAGUCCAUGGUUCAUUUGAGCUCACUUUGGCGCGAAUGUGGUGAUGAAGGAGAGCAAAAAGGAAAAAUAUGCUACGGUUUAUCUUGCAGCUCAAUUUUCAUACCCUUCCCAGGCCAUCGUUGUCGGUCAGAGGAAGGGGCGGUCUCCAUCUGGUCGAACCUGGUGUGCGCGGCAAGGUAGCUAUGUAUGGAGGGAGAGGCAAUUUGGGGACGACUUCUUGAUGAGUAGAAUUUACUAAGCAAUUAGAUCAAAUACGUAUAUAUAUUUAAUGCAAUGCUCUGUUCGGUAUCUGAAUGCUCAAGUUGGAAAGUUGUGUCAGCUUGACAAUUGUGAAAUCCCUGCUGGAAAAGUACUACAUUGAUCUCAAGCUAAUUGGCCGCCUUGAGGUUGGUAGCGAGACAGUGAUAGACAAAAGUAAAUCCAUCAAAACGUGGCUAAUGCAAUUUUUAGAGGAAACUGGUAAUACCGACAUCGAGGGAGUUUGACUCCAGUAAUGCAUGUUAUGGUGGAACAACUUCCCUCUUGAAUUGGUGUGACUUCGGUCCAAAGUCCAUGCUGGGAUGAACGUUACGGCCUUGUAGUCUGCACAGAUAGCACGGUUUAUGCAGAGGGACCAGCUCGACCUGGUGGAGCUGCUGCAGUUGCUAUGCUUAUUGGUCCAAAUGCACCUAUUUCUUUCGAAAUCAAAUAUAGAGCUUUUCACAUGACUCAUGUUUACGAUCUCUACAAGCCUCAUCUUGCAAGUGAAUAUCAGACCAAAAGUUCAAUCAAGAAUUUGGGAUCUGAACAAUAUUGCCUAAUACCCAGUUAUACAAGGAUCAAGUUUCAGAGAAUCAGAGAUCAACAACUUGCUAGUUGACCACUCGUCGCACAAUGUAAUUUACCCGCAAACUGACAGGCAUCAAUGCUACAGUUUGGAAGAAAAAGAGUGCUCCCUGGACUGUCAGGUUGUGUGAUCCUUUUGCUUGCAAACCAAAGCUACAAGAGCGUUCAGCCAUUGGAGCUGACGCUCAAGCUCCACGCCAAUGUGAAGAGCGCUAAGGCCGUAAACACAUAAUUAAGCAAUGCACACCUCAACUUACAAGACGACAUGAAGGAUAAAUAUCAAUCUUUUAGCAGAUAAAUUUAAGACUUAAACGCUCUGAAUUUCUUCAUUUGCACAAAAAAUGGUAUUGCAAGGCAGAUCAUUUUAUCUGUACAGUCAGCUCUCCAAAAGCACCCUAAAUUUCAGUGUAGAAUCAAAAUUGCUAAGAAUACCUGGAAUGGAAAUUCUUAGUGGCACAUGUAAGCUUUGCAGAUUGUUUGGUUUUUAAAUCUAUUAUUUUCUGAUAUAGAUUGCGAUAAUUUUGCAUUGAUGAUUGGUACUAGUACUUGUCAGUCCAACCAUUUACUACAGAACUCACAUAUGUACUGAUUAAGAGCUAGCUUAUAUGGAGCAAAAAUCAAGAAUUACCAGCACAGUCAAAGCAAACACCAGAAUAAAAUUUGAAGCAGCAUGUCAGUAAACAAAUUGCCACGAACAAAACAAAGCUAGAUGGAAGAACGGAGCUGAUGUGUGGAGGCGGCAGAGAGGCGACGGGGAGUAUGCAGGGUGGCAAGGGAGCCAGGGGGUGUUUGUGAGCUCUGUUCAGGGAGUUUAAAAGGAGCAAUUGUCCCAGCAUACAAAGCAGCAGCAAGAAAACCCAUAUAACAAAACAACAUGUGCUGGUAUUUUCCAAGUUUUCUGCAAGGGGUAUGUCUUUCAGGGAUCUUUCAGACGGCAUGCUACUCUUCAGAAACAUUGGGGCCAAUCAGCUCCGUUGCUCAUAUCUUUAGUAAUAACUUCAUGCGCAGAGUGAAUGUUCAUGCUGAUAAGGCAUUUGCAGAACAAAUAUUCUGAGUUAUUUCCUUGUGAGGAGAUUAUAAGAAAAACAUCAGAAACACUCCCACAGUCCCACACUCAGUUCGAGGCAGCACCCACAAUUGGUCAGUUUUAUUUACCUCAUCGUACAUAACCAGACAAUGAACAAGCUUAUUUGUAGAACCUAAAAAUUGAGUUACUAAGAAGCUGUUAUACUGAGUAGUGAGCUACUACAAUGGGACCAUGGAGUAACUGGGCCGAAUCAGCAUACAUUCUGUAUCAAAACGAAUUCACAUACUAAGUUGGUUUCGAUAGCUACACCCCACAGAGUUAUCUUCGGAUUUACAAGACUCCAGACGUGUAUUUUGACAAAUUGGAACACUCAAAACAGAAACAAAUUCCAACCAUGACCUUGCAAACAAUAUCAGAAGACUGUUUUAUGUAAACAUGGUAUUAUUCCUAUUCUCCUUGUCCAGCACCAAAUACAAAUCCAGUUGUAACCAUCAGUAGAUUGGCCCUGCAAUCACAAACAUCAGAAGCAAAAAAAUGAAAAACAGAACAUUGGUUAUGAAACAGUGUAGUGAUCAAGGUGGCCUCAGACCGUCCUAGUUCAGAAGUGUCGUCAUUGUACAGACAAUCUAUGUUG
This is a non-coding RNA of Triticum urartu, 3392 nucleotides long. The record is from RefSeq and is a predicted model, not a curated record. NCBI's taxonomy places the organism in Eukaryota, Viridiplantae, Streptophyta, Magnoliopsida, Poales, Poaceae.